Non-coding RNA from Pelobates cultripes (western spadefoot toad), 237 nucleotides. The record is from the annotation of a GenBank genome assembly. Lineage: Eukaryota; Metazoa; Chordata; Amphibia; Anura; Pelobatidae.
CCCAGCUCGUCAUGCUAGAGCACUUUUUCCAAUCGGCUUCCCAACGACAAGACAAUGACGCAUUUGUAUUUCAUCCAUAUCAACUUUCGAUGCCAUUGACUGCGCCUACCAUGAUGACCACGGGUAACGGGGAAUCAGGGUUCUAUUCCGGAGAGGGAGCCUGAGAAACGGCUACCACAUGCAAGGAAGGCAGCAGGCGCGCAAAUGACCCACUCCCAACGCGGGAAGGUAGUGACG